CUCUCCUGCUGCUCCCUGGCCCUGCUGUAUCACAGUGUGCAGACCAGGUCUUAGGUCAGCCACAGAGAUGGUUUCUACAAGCUUCUCUGGUGUGAGAUGCAGCAAAUAUGUUCUACUGAAUACAAGGCUGAAGAUAGAUGAGGCCUAAUUUAACACCCAGGGUUCACGGUAACAUCAAACACAGAUGGAGCAUAUGGAAAAUGUGAACUUGCUACCAAGGCAGAAACAUGAAGAGCAAGUACCAUCUUUCAAGUUUUCUGAUUCCAUGGGCACAUUCUGGAAAAAGAUUUGUUAUCACAGUAGAAGGAAGCAAUGUGUCCUUGACAGAUAUUUGUUUUAACAAACACUUUAAAAUAGACAUCCAUAUCUGUAACCAUGCAAGAAAAUAAUGCUAUUUUGUUUCUUCAGAUUUGCAGUAUGUACCCAAUAAAACACAAUUCAGAUUCUCAUGUCACUGUAUCGCAGAGACAUUU
Molecule: long non-coding RNA, 473 nt
Organism: Mauremys reevesii (Reeves's turtle)
Lineage: Eukaryota; Metazoa; Chordata; Testudines; Geoemydidae
Exons: 3
Source: RefSeq, a predicted model, not a curated record